RNAcentral lists this ribosomal RNA (472 nucleotides) under uncultured bacterium. RNAcentral describes it as "bacterial SSU rRNA". It matches the Rfam family "Bacterial small subunit ribosomal RNA", at positions 335 to 802 of the family's 1533-position model. The record is from RNAcentral.
ACUCCUACGGGAGGCAGCAGUGGGGAAUAUUGCACAAUGGGGGAAACCCUGAUGCAGCCAUGCCGCGUGUGUGAAGAAGGCCUUCGGGUUGUAAAGCACUUUCAGUAGGGAGGAAGGUAGUGUAGUUAACACCUGCACUAUUUGACGUUACCUACAGAAGAAGCACCGGCUAACUCCGUGCCAGCAGCCGCGGUAAUACGGAGGGUGCGAGCGUUAAUCGGAAUUACUGGGCGUAAAGCGCAUGCAGGCGGCCUGUUAAGUCAGAUGUGAAAGCCCGGGGCUUAACCUCGGAAUUGCAUUUGAAACUGGCAGGCUAGAGUCUUGUAGAGGGGGUUAGAAUUUCAGGUGUAGCGGUGAAAUGCGUAGAGAUCUGAAGGAAUACCAGUGGCGAAGGCGGCCCCUGGACAAAGACUGACGCUCAGAUGCGAAAGCGUGGGAGCAAACAGGAUUAGAUACCCCUGGUAGACUGUCA